CUUAGUUAGCAUGUGAAACGAACUCUGUUCACAGUACGAAUGUCUAAACAGCUUCUCAAAGGCAAAGAGGCGACUUAAAGUUAAUGGAGUAUAUCAACUUUUCAGAUUUAGAAAUCGGAAUAAGGACGUUCUAGAAAUUAAUGGACCUACUUCUCGGAAACACUGAAUUGUAGUGUACUGGUUUACUUCAUCUACAUUUAAUAGGUUCGGUUUGCGCAGGGUUGAAUACUUGAAUGUGGACACUGAUAUACACAGGAUCAAAUACUUGAAUGUGGACACUGAUAUACACAGGAUCAAAUACUUGGCAUUCAACCUACAGCGAGACCUCUUCCUGGUGGAAUACUACAGUGAAUGGUCAAAUCAGGAUAAUCUGCCAUGCAACUUUCUUGAGAAGCUUCUUGAGUGCAGGCUGAGUGAUUGUAAACGUUUAUGUCCUGCUGUUGCCAAGAGACAUAAGAUGUCAGAUUUGUUCUGUAUUGUUGAGUGCAGUGAAAGUUGAUAAAAAUGCUAGAAAGAUAUCGUCAGUAUCUCUGCUGUAUGAAACAGUCUUUUGAGUUUGACAGACAAGUUUGGUGGCACUGACAUUAUCUGAGAAUGGCUCACAGAAUUUUGUGGACACUCAAGACUUUUGGUGGAAGAAGCUAGUGAAUUAAUUGUGUCAUCUGUCUAUAACGAUACAAGGACUGUAAUUGGACACAAGAUUACAGCAAAAAGCCAGUCAACAGACAUGAUAUCGUCGGUAUUGUGGUUUGUUAGCUGCAGAAGUAGUCCAGCUUUUCUACAUUGUGCCAUCGUUUUUUGACUUGAUGCAAAAUAACCCUGGAGUGAUGCAGCUUGUGUCAGCUGCGUCUGGUGAUGGUGAUCAUCGAAAGUAAGAUACAAGAAGCUAUUCCGAGGCAAAACCUAUGUCAACACCAGUAUAUUUCCAGUAGUUUACUUUUUGAAGGCCGUAGCAACUUUUUCUAAGUUCACAACAAUUAUUGGGUUAAAUCUGAGGAAAAUUGUGGCUAAAAAAGAUCCUGUGUUUGAGUAAAAAAGUACUUCUAGGCCCUCAAAACCUUGGGUUCAUCAUUGCUUUACCAGAGUCAUUUUGCACUGAUACAGCUGGAGAACACAGUGCAUAUAGUGGUCCCAUGAUUUCCAAGUUUAAGGAUCAUAAUGAUUUCUACUCGUAUGUUAAUAUCAAAGGAAUCGUCUUCGAUGGAGAUUGUGGAUACUGGAAACCAAAAAGAACAAUUGAGACAGCAAAAAACACAACCAUCAACUUCAGAAGUUUUACACCAGAAGCAGAAAAAUUCUGUUGCAGUGAAAUCUAUGGCGAGAAGCAGGGGUUCGCUGGUUUCAUAUGGACCAAUUAAAAGCCAGCAAGCCAAGCAGAGUACCCAGUUCACAUGUCAGGAUGAAUGAGUCUUAUUUCAAUAGCGCCCUCUAUGACAGUGUCUGGAGUGCAGUUGAAACAUUGAAUAGUGAAAGUAAAGAGUGGUUUGGUAGACAAGGCCUGUAGCCAUUGUGUGAUGACAGGAUGUGUGGCCUGUAGAUCUGAAGAUUCUCUCCACAGCCAUGUAAUGCACAGUGAG
RNAcentral lists this long non-coding RNA (1577 nucleotides) under Anneissia japonica. RNAcentral's name for it is "uncharacterized LOC117114709, transcript variant X6". Lineage: Eukaryota; Metazoa; Echinodermata; Crinoidea; Comatulida; Comatulidae. The record is from RNAcentral.